RNAcentral lists this ribosomal RNA (253 nucleotides) under uncultured bacterium. RNAcentral's name for it is "partial 16S ribosomal RNA". It matches the Rfam family "Bacterial small subunit ribosomal RNA", at positions 524 to 776 of the family's 1533-position model. The record is from RNAcentral.
UACGUAGGCAGCAAGCGUUGUUCGGAGUUACUGGGCGUAAAGAGUGCGUAGGCGGUUCCGUAAGUUUGGUGUGAAAUCUCCCGGCUCAACUGGGAGGGUGCGCCGAAGACUGCGGUGCUUGAGUGUGGGAAAGGUAGGCGGAAUUCCUGGUGUAGCGGUGAAAUGCGUAGAUAUCAGGAGGAACACCGGUGGCGAAGGCGGUUCUCUGGGCAUGUCCUGACGCUGAGGAGCGAAAGCGUGGGGAGCGAACAGG